UAUUAUCUCAUCGUCUAUCCCCCCACCUCUCCCCACCAGCACGUCUCCUGCCCAUCCCUCCACACAUCUUUCUGCAUCUCCUCCGACCCUCUCCAUCCCCUUCUGCUUCUCCUGCAGUGCCAGAUCGCCGCCUCAUCCGCGCUCUACUAUAAGCACCGGCGAGGUACAUGCUUCGCCUCCUCCAGAUCCACGAGGUGAUGCGGAAAGAAACUUGACAUCGAGGAUUCGAGAUGCCUUGACACACGAGGGCACUACAAAUCACGAGAAGAAGCUCCUCCCACGACCCCUUUCCGCUGAGCUCGGACAAAAGGAGCUCGCCGUGCAUGGGGAUAUUGACCACAAAGACCAGUGAUGGCUAUGGGAUCCUCAAAUCCACAAAUUUAUGCAGUUCCCUUUUCUCUUUAUCAUGUGGAUGUCAACAAAAAGGGACCCAUGUUAUAUUCUCAUGCACCAGAUUCAAUUGUUUGCAUCAAAGUUGUUUGGGUUCACCAGUAGGAAGCGUUCAGUUGUUUUUCGUCCACACCUAAUUGACUGCAAUUUCAGAUUGGUUUUUAUUUUUUCAGCAAUUUGAAACUGCAGAACGCAUGUUCAUCUUCCCCAAACCUACAAAGUAAAUAGUAAUAGUUUUUAUGAUGAUACAUGAGCCAGUACUAUGGCUCAUUUUGAUCUGCUAUUUGGAUAAAUACACUUUUGUGGAAUUGUACGUACCUCUCUUCAUGUUGUUUACAGGCAGCCGAAGUUACAGAUCCAGGCGUGAUGACUACAUGAGCCAGUACUAUGGCUCAUUUUGAUCUGCUAUUUGGAUAAAUACACUUUUGUGGAAUUGUACGUACCUCUCUUCAUGUUGUUUACAGGCAGCUGAAGUUACAGCUCCAGGCGUGAUGACUACAUGUAAUUGUUUGUACAUAAGCCUCAUCUCAAGAUAAAGUUGAUAGAAGUACUUUGUAUAUAUGAUCCCGCCAUUUAAAAAAAUAGGUAAGCACUAUGGGAUAGCUGGAGCGAUGUCUGUUUUAUUUACAAUGUGUAUAUCUAUGUAUCAUGACUUGUGGCUGCAUGCCUAUCAAGUAUUUGAUGCAUUCACAUGUGAUUAGUAAUGAUGUUAAGUCCUCCUAGUUAAUCUCAUAUAUACCUUUGCAAGUUGUGCUUUACGAUCCUAAUGAGAGAUUCGACAAGAAACAUUUUCCAAUCGGGAGAGGUUUCUUAUCAGUUCGAUGAGAAGUGCAAUAUUUAGUACGUGUUUUUCUUGCUUGUGUUUUCAACCAAUGUAUCAUCUAGCAACCUCUAUUCCAAAAAC
Molecule: long non-coding RNA, 1294 nt
Filed under: Triticum aestivum (bread wheat)
Lineage: Eukaryota; Viridiplantae; Streptophyta; Magnoliopsida; Poales; Poaceae
Description: long non-coding RNA (TAES_LNC027332)
Source: RNAcentral